ACGAACGCUGGCGGCGUGCUUAACCCCUGCCAGUCGAACGGAAAGGCCCUGCUUUUGUGGGGUGCUCGAGUGGCGAACGGGUGAGUAACACGUGAGUAACCUGCCCUUGACUUUGGGAUAACUUCAGGAAACUGGGGCUAAUACCGGAUAGGAGCUCCUGCUGCAUGGUGGGGGUUGGAAAGUUUCGGCGGUUGGGGAUGGACUCGCGGCUUAUCAGCUUGUUGGUGGGGUAGUGGCUUACCAAGGCUUUGACGGGUAGCCGGCCUGAGAGGGUGACCGGCCACAUUGGGACUGAGAUACGGCCCAGACUCCUACGGGAGGCAGCAGUGGGGAAUAUUGCACAAUGGGCGGAAGCCUGAUGCAGCAACGCCGCGUGCGGGAUGACGGCCUUCGGGUUGUAAACCGCUUUCGCCUGUGACGAAGCGUGAGUGACGGUAAUGGGUAAAGAAGCACCGGCUAACUACGU
Molecule: ribosomal RNA, 466 nt
Filed under: uncultured bacterium
Lineage: Bacteria
Description: partial 16S ribosomal RNA
Rfam family: Bacterial small subunit ribosomal RNA
Source: RNAcentral